GAUGAACGCUAGCGACACGGUUUAACACAUGCAAGUCGAGGGGCAGCACGGUGUAGCGAUACACUGGUGGCGACCGGCGCACGGGUGAGUAACACGUGUGCAACCAACCCCGUACCGGGAGAUAACCCGCGGAAACGUGGACUAACAUCCCAUGACGCUCUAGAGCCGCAUGGCUCUAGAUUUAAAAUUCCGGUGGUACGGGACGGGCACGCGCGACAUUAGGUAGUUGGCGGGGUAAGGGCCCACCAAGCCGACGAUGUCUAGGGGUUCUGAGAGGAAGGUCCCCCACACUGGAACUGAGACACGGUCCAGACUCCUACGGGAGGCAGCAGUGAGGAAUAUUGGUCAAUGGGCGAGAGCCUGAACCAGCCAAGUCGCGUGAGGGACGAAUGGUCUAUGGCCUGUAAACCUCUUUUGCCAGGGAAGAAUAAAAGGUACGUGUACCUUCUUGCCAGUACCUGACGAAUAAGCAUCGGCUAACUCCGUGCCAGCAGCCGCGGUAAUACGGGGGAUGCGAGCGUUAUCCGGAUUUAUUGGGUUUAAAGGGAGCGUAGACGGGUUUUUAAGUCAGCUGUGAAAGUUUGGGGCUCAACCUUAAAAUUGCAGUUGAAACUGGAGACCUUGAGUACGGUUGAGGCAGGCGGAAUUCGUGGUGUAGCGGUGAAAUGCUUAGAUAUCACGAAGAACCCCGAUUGCGAAGGCAGCCUGCUAAGCCGCCACUGACGUUGAGGCUCGAAAGUGCGGGUAUCAAACAGG
This 756-nucleotide ribosomal RNA is filed under the name uncultured bacterium. RNAcentral's name for it is "bacterial SSU rRNA". It matches the Rfam family "Bacterial small subunit ribosomal RNA", at positions 28 to 776 of the family's 1533-position model. The record is from RNAcentral.